AAAGGAGGAAGAAAUUGUGAAACAGAGUGAACUAAGCCAACAGUUGAAAGAAAAAAAACCUCUGUCUGCAAGAUGGAUUGCCCCAGAUUAUUUCCAAGUUCGCGAAAUCUUACAAAUCUGAACAAGCACCUGAAAGAUGGGUAAAAGAGGAAGUUCAGAAUGCUUUGUCGAAGGUAGAACUGAGCCCAAGAAGAGUAAAACAACUAAGAGAGAAAAAAAGUCUUCUCUCUUGGCUGGUACAAGCCUG
Molecule: long non-coding RNA, 247 nt
Organism: Daphnia pulex (common water flea)
Lineage: Eukaryota; Metazoa; Arthropoda; Branchiopoda; Diplostraca; Daphniidae
Exons: 3
Source: RefSeq, a predicted model, not a curated record